AGGAACGGAGGAAUAGACGGU
Molecule: microRNA, 21 nt
Filed under: Apis mellifera (honey bee)
Lineage: Eukaryota; Metazoa; Arthropoda; Insecta; Hymenoptera; Apidae
Description: ame-miR-6049-5p
Source: miRBase by way of RNAcentral